GAUGAACGCUAGCUACAGGCUUAACACAUGCAAGUCGGGGGCAGCAUGAACUUAGCUUGCUAAGUUUGAUGGCGACCGGCGCACGGGUGAGUAACACGUAUCCAACCUGCCGAUGACUCGGGGAUAGCCUUUCGAAAGAAAGAUUAAUACCCGAUGGCAUAGUUCUUCCGCAUGGUAGAACUAUUAAAGAAUUUCGGUCAUCGAUGGGGAUGCGUUCCAUUAGGUUGUUGGCGGGUAACGGCCCACCAAGCCUUCGAUGGAUAGGGGUUCUGAGAGGAAGGUCCCCCACAUUGGAACUGAGACACGGUCCAAACUCCUACGGGAGGCAGCAGUGAGGAAUAUUGGUCAAUGGACGAGAGUCUGAACCAGCCAAGUAGCGUGCAGGAUGACGGCCCUAUGGGUUGUAAACUGCUUUUAUAAGGGAAUAAAGUGAGUCUCGUGAGACUUUUUGCAUGUACCUUAUGAAUAAGGACCGGCUAAUUCCGUG
This 487-nucleotide ribosomal RNA is filed under the name uncultured bacterium. Its description in RNAcentral is "bacterial SSU rRNA". It matches the Rfam family "Bacterial small subunit ribosomal RNA", at positions 28 to 507 of the family's 1533-position model. The record is from RNAcentral.